Setaria italica (foxtail millet) is the source of this 3578-nucleotide long non-coding RNA. RefSeq lists it as uncharacterized. The record is from RefSeq and is a predicted model, not a curated record. NCBI's taxonomy places the organism in Eukaryota, Viridiplantae, Streptophyta, Magnoliopsida, Poales, Poaceae. The transcript has 3 exons.
CGAGGAAGAACAUCGCCUCGCUGGAAGGAGCCUAUCGCUGGAGGAUGCCUGCUGCGGUGGUGGAGGUCCUCUCCUUCACUCGACUGCUCUAUUGCCCUCCACGGCACCUAAAGUGAGACAUCCAUCACGGCCUCUUUCCGUUUUGCCAUUUCUCGUCGAAAUCUAUGCGCCGUUGCUCAUCCUAGCUUUUUCCGGUGAUGCUCCGGCCAUGGCGCCGCCGUGUUGCACAUGGCGCCGCCGCGUAUAGUCGUCGUCCUCCUUAGUCGAGGAAAGAUGAUGCAUCCGUGGCCCUCAGAUCCAAAAUUAAUGGCAUCGAUUAUAUAUCUAUCAGAUACCUCUUCGUAUGAACCCGGUUCACCGUAGACCGAUCUGGCCAGCUCGCAUCGCAUCGGCCAUCGCAUCUCUUCCCACUCCAUGCCUCGAUUCCCUUCCGCGCCGCCACCCACUCGUGUUCCGAACUUUCGCUGCGCCGCCACCCUACCUCGCGUCGCGUCCUCCCUCAUCUCAUCCAGGGGCGGACCCAAGUGGCACCCGUCAUACCCUAGGAUCAGGCCCAGCACAAGUUGUCGGCAGUUUCCCGUCCACCAGCAGAUUUUCCCAUUCGCCGGUGCUAGCAGAUUCUCCCGUCCGCCGACUCCUCUAUGGUCAGCCAUCACUCGUCGUUCCCCACCGGCGGCUGGUGCUCCUGGAAGCGACGGCGCCGCAUCACGCGUGACGGCGAUCCCGUGCACUGCCCCCUGAACGCACUCCUCAGCACUCGUCCAGGCCGAACCUGCUUGCCGUCCAUCAGGCCGAGGUGAUUCACGUCCUCUCUCCUCCCAUGCAGUCUCCUCUGUCUUUUUUUCUCUGUGCUCUCCCAGAAUAGUAGAUGGAGAUCUAGACAAUUAGGCAUCUGGUUAUCUUAGCAUGUAAAUAGGUUGCAACUUGCAAUUGAUGUGAGCGUACUAUUUAAAUGUUAUUAUAUUCCAUUGAGAUUAACAGUUGCAGAUCCCUGGUCAUGAAUUUCGUCCUUGCUCAUAGUGUAUUGUUAAUUUAAAUGUUUAUCCUAUCUCAAUUCAUUUUGUGAGCUUGCUUAUUGCAGCUUAUAACGGUAUUUCUUUCUCACUUCAACUAUACUAAUGAGAUUAAUGAGGUCGAUUUCUACAUAGACCAAAGCAAAUCCUUACAGACAGAGAAUGCCAGACUAAGAGAUUUGGAAAUUGAAAGAGAAGACAAGGUUGCUGCUUUUGAUAGAGCGAUAAUUCUUGAAGGGAGGCUCUGAACAUAGUCUGAGAUCAGACAGAAGAUAGAAGCUGUUCAUUUUACUUCAUUAUUCCUCAAGUAAGUUAGUCUGCCACUGAUAAAUUAGGAGAUCAGAGGUGUAACGGGAUGGGACACUGUAAUAGUGCUCUGAAUCUUGUGAAAUGUCUGAACUAUGGUGUAAGUUGAGUUCAAUGAGCUUGAGGAGAGCUCGGUCCUUGCGACAACCAUGCGCGUGGUACGAUUCGCUUUCUUGGACAUGGCAUAAUGCUCUGAAUGAUCUCCAAUCAUUGUUGCAGAAGGUGCACAUUUUUCUCCAUUCAGUUUUUCUGCAUCCAGAGCUGAUAAAGUAUGCAUCUCUUGCACAUUACUAUAGCAUUUCUGAGUUACACCAAAUUCAGGUUGGCAAGGGGUUGAGAAAGUCUGAACCCUAAUCUUUGUGCACUGGCUUAAAGCAGUGAAGAAGUGAGCAGUAGCCAACUUCUAGAUGGUUAGAUACCAUGUGAUGAUGUGAAGCAUAUACUGAUGUGAACCGCUAAAAUUUCACCAAUCUUCACUGCCACUAUGACUGCUGGCUGCAGCACAAUAGCAAGGGGUCCUUCUACGGGUUAGUAUCAUAGAAACUGUCAAUAAUAUCUGUGGCUUCUGAAGUUUUCAAGAAACCUUGAGUAGAAUUGGCAUUUUACUACAUUUGUUCAGGCUCGAAGUUUGAUAAGGCUCUGAAAAUAAUCUUGAAAAGUGCGGGCACUGGAGCUUCUAAGUGAGUGCAUGCCAGAACUGAUCAAUUGUUCUUUAAAUCUCUCUUCUUAGUGUGGAAUGUUAGAACUUAGAAGGGAUACCUGAUGUAUAACUACUCUGAAAAACAAUUUAGAAUGUUACAGUUAAUGAAGCUGUUCUUUUUCUUCCAAAUGAAGAUUCCGUUGCUGAGCCAUUCAUGCCAAGUUCAUAAGCUUUUGUUAGUUCUUUGCCUAUGUCGACAUGUAUAUUUUGUUGUAGCCUACUACCACCAAUGCCAUUGCUUGUUCGAAAUGUGUAAGAUUUGUAGAGAAUCAUUUUGGGAGGUUAAAAGUCUAUGGAAUGGUGUAAAAGAGGAUCAGGAUCUAGAUGACCUGCAUCAAUGCUAGAAAAAGGCAUGUUCUUUUAUGAUAUGCUCUAUCAAUGUCCUUCCAGCAAUUUCUUUUCAUAGUUUCAUAUGUUUAGAACUCUUGUAGGUUUGAUGAAAUAAUACAUUCCCAAAUAUUUCCACAAUGUGUCCUUUCUUAUCUCCAUUAGUAUGUUAGAUGAAUUCUUUCUGGUUUGGUUUGGGACUGAGAAAAAUAAUUGAGAAGCUUCUCACUUUUCUUUUGGCCAUAAUAAAAAUUGCUGUGCUGCUUUGCUCUUCUCAUCAGGGACCUUGCUUGGGGCUGUUCUUGGUCAGGCUUCUCAAUUCGACCUGCGCUUAAUGGUAAGCUCCAAUUGUGCUGGCAUCCUCUCCUGAGCCGCAGAGCAUACCAUCUAUGACCGCAUCGCAAAUGUGGCUUGCAUCUGCAAGGUGGCCUGGGGUGCAACUGCCCAACAGCCUAGCUGAUCUUCCAGGAGGAGGAGGAGGUUUUUGGCUUCACCAACUAGGACAGACUCACGUAGAAGUUCUGUUGUCAAUGGUCAGUCCAUAUAUCACUCUUUAGUGUCCAUGUGAAGCUGUAAGACAUCAAAUGACAGUAGUGAGGAGACAAGAAAGACAUUGAUGUGAAUUCAGCAUUGCCCUGGAGGUGUAACUAAGCCGUUUUGCGUGUGUUAACUAGAAUAAAGGAACAGAAGAGGAAUUGGAGGAUGUAUUUACAGAGUCCUUCAUUGUUGUGCAGAAUCUUUGUGCUGGGAGUGCUACCUUAUUCGGUCCGAUAUGCUUCCAGCUUUAAUUUCUCCAGUGCUGGCACAACGAAUUCUUAGGACUGGCAAGGCAGUCAACUUUCUUAGAGUUUGCUGUGAUGAUAGUUGCUGGGCUGCUGCUGCUGCCGAGGCUGCUGCAUAUGUUGGCACCACAACAUCUCGAGGUGGGCUUGGUUAUGCAGAGACAGAUGCUUUGGAGGCAUUGGUUGAGGCAACCAAGAGGAUUGAUACACAUUUGAUGGGCUGUGAUGAUGGUUUUGUAGACCACUUUAUAAUGAGUAUUCAGUCUUGAUUUGCCAACAUAAUUAAGCAAACCGAAAGAGUAGCUAGAAGCUGUAUUUGGUGUUGUAGCCCACUGUUGAUCUAUAUUAAAAGAUAGUCUGGGUACUGGAUGAAAAUGGCAGCAUUGUAUCAAUAAUUACUUAAGCUAAUUUAUCUGCAAGACAACAAACAUACCAUUUUAAUACUUUUCA